This 485-nucleotide ribosomal RNA is filed under the name uncultured bacterium. Its description in RNAcentral is "partial 16S ribosomal RNA". It matches the Rfam family "Bacterial small subunit ribosomal RNA", at positions 29 to 507 of the family's 1533-position model. The record is from RNAcentral.
AUGAACGCUGGCGGCGUGCCUAAUACAUGCCCGUCGCACGCUGGAGAUCUAGCUUGCUAGAUCGAAGGAGUGGCGAACGGGUGAGUAAUACAUAAGCAACCUACCCACGAAGACUGGGAUAAUCUCUGGAAACGGGGACUAAUACCGGAUAGGUAAUCGGAAGGCAUCUUCUGGUUAUUAAAGGUUAAAAACACUGGUGGAUGGGCUUAUGGCGCAUUAGUUAGUUGGUGAGGUAACGGCCCACCAAGACGAUGAUGCGUAGCCGGCCUGAGAGGGUGAACGGCCACAUUGGGACUGAGACACGGCCCAGACUCCUACGGGAGGCAGCAGUAGGGAAGUUUCGGCAAUGGGGGCAACCCUGACCGAGCAACGCCGCGUGAGUGAAGACGGCCUUCGGGUUGUAAAGCUCUGUUGUAAGGGAAGAACGGUAGAUAGAGAAUAUCUAAGUGACGGUACCUUACCAGAAAGCCACGGCUAACUACGUG